AAGGUCGCUGGUUCGAUUCCAGCAUGAGGCACCGAAAAUUUUUUGCCACUCAUGAUCCUUUUUUGGCUUCGUGCCAGAAGCCU
Molecule: microRNA precursor, 83 nt
Filed under: Caenorhabditis remanei
Lineage: Eukaryota; Metazoa; Nematoda; Chromadorea; Rhabditida; Rhabditidae
Source: RNAcentral